UGGGAAAAGCAAGAAAUUGAACGACGCAGACAGUAGGAAGAGCAAGGUCACGAGCACGCAGAGCAGGAGAUGCCUCAAGCUCCACCACCACAGGUUGAGAUAAAUGCACAGUUGUGGUGCCAGAUUUUCACUACCACCACGGGAACCAGCCGAGACGUACAGAGUCUCCAGCAGGCUAUGGGGACUUUGACGACUGAGAUGCAUACAGCCCACCGUGACAUCUGCAUUUCCACUGAUAUGUCACGUGCUGCUCGCCAGGAUGCCCAGGCAGCUCGGAGGGAGAUGGAAACUAUGAACGAUUGACUCAGUGUGUAUGUGGCAGGGUGGAUGGCAUCCAGAUGAGGGUAAAUGAAACUUGGGAGCGUUUGGGCCGUUUGGAGACACAUGUUGAAGAAAUCCAUGAUGAAAUGACACAGCAGUCAGCACUGAUGAGAGAGAUCUUGGCGCGCCUACCUCCACCUUCAGCUAAUGAUACUACAGGAUCUAGCUUCCCAUUGCAACCCCCGUAUUGAUUAGGGGAGUAUCGUUUGCCUCAUUUGUACUCAUUUUCCUUAAAUUCUGC
RNAcentral lists this long non-coding RNA (562 nucleotides) under Olea europaea (common olive). RNAcentral describes it as "long non-coding RNA (OEUR_LNC014386)". Lineage: Eukaryota; Viridiplantae; Streptophyta; Magnoliopsida; Lamiales; Oleaceae. The record is from RNAcentral.